Molecule: ribosomal RNA, 440 nt
Filed under: uncultured bacterium
Lineage: Bacteria
Description: partial 16S ribosomal RNA
Rfam family: Bacterial small subunit ribosomal RNA
Source: RNAcentral
CCUACGGGGAGCAGCAGUGGGGAAUAUUGGACAAUGGGGGAAACCCUGAUCCAGCGACGCCGCGUGAGUGAAGAAGUAUUUCGGUACGUAAAGCUCUAUCAGCAGGAAAGAAAAUGACGGUACCUGACUAAGAAGCCCCGGCUAACUACGUGCCAGCAGCCGCGGUAAUACGUAGGGGACAAGCGUUAGCCGGAUUUACUGGGUGUAAAGGGAGCGUAGACGGCAGGGCAAGUCUGGAGUGAAAUGGCGGGGCCCAACCCCGGAACUGCUCUGGAAACUGUGAAGCUUGAGUGCAGGAGAGGUAAGUGGAAUUCCUGGUGUAGCGGUGAAAUGCGUAGAUAUCAGGAGGAACACCGGCGGCGAAGGCGGCUUACUGGACUGUAACUGACGUUGAGGCUCGAAGGCGUGGGGAGCAAACAGGAUUAGAUACCCCAGUAGUC